This 496-nucleotide ribosomal RNA is filed under the name uncultured Glomeromycotina. RNAcentral describes it as "partial small subunit ribosomal RNA". It matches the Rfam family "Eukaryotic small subunit ribosomal RNA", at positions 591 to 1092 of the family's 1831-position model. Lineage: Eukaryota; Fungi; Glomeromycota. The record is from RNAcentral.
CCAAUAGCGUAUAUUAAAGUUGUUGCAGUUAAAAAGCUCGUAGUUGAAUCUCGGGGUUCUACCGUUGGUCGGGCAAUUGUCUGUACUGGCGUGUGGAAUUUCUACCUUCUGGGGAUCCAUCAUGUUAUUAAUUUAGCGUGGUGGGAAACCAGGACCUUUACCUUGAAAAAAUUAGAGUGUUCAAAGCAGGCGUACGUCUGACUACAUGAGUAUGGAAUAAUAGAAUAGGACGGUGGUCCUGUUUUGUUGGUUUCUGAAUCACCGUAAUGAUUAAUAGAGAUAGUUGGGGGCAUUAGUAUUCAAUUGUCAGAGGUGAAAUUCUUGGAUUUAUUGAAGACUAACUUCUGCGAAAGCAUUUGCCAAGGAUGUUUUCAUUAAUCAAGAACGAAAGUUAGGGGAUCGAAGACGAUCAGAUACCGUCGUAGUCUUAACCAUAAACUAUGCCGACUAGGGAUCGGACGAUGUUAAUUUUUCUUGACUCGUUCGGCGCCUUACG